CAACUAAGGAGCAUUUUUCUUGGUGCUUAGGCUUGCAGUGUCUGGGCUCAGCCUCAUCAGCCUCUCAGGUGGUGCUCAUCUCCUGGAGGGCUGGGGUUGUGCCACUGCUCCCGGCUCCAUCCCUGCUCGCCUGGUGCUGAGGGCACCACAAAUAUUUCACCUUCCUCAGCAGAAGCAGCUCAGGCCUUGCACUAGGGCAGAAAAAAAUACAGUACACAAAUAGAAAAAUGAAAAAGGUAAAAGAUGAAGUGAUAAAAAAGGAGACCAAGUCUUCCGCUGAGGCCCUAGUCAGCAUUUGGUCAGUGAAGAUGUGGUGCAAGGACGAGAAAUUUCAUUUUCUGAUUUCUGUUAACAGCUUACAAGGGACAAUGUUUGUUUCUGUUUCUGCUGGGACAGGCGUUGAAGCUGGAUGUUGCCCGCUCUAGCCUUGCAUUCAGACUUGGCACACCGUGGGUGCCCGGGUGCUGAGCUCCUGGCCGCCCUCCCCACGCGCGAGGUCUCGGUGCGCCUCCCCUGCCGCAGCGCUGCAGGCAACAGCCACAAAUGGCUCGUGUCGCACGGCAUUUCGGUGCAUUGUGUGCAGGUUGUACACGUGGAGAUGCUUUGUCUGUGAAUCCCUUGAACUCCCAGGGGCAGCAGAGGCUUUCCGUGUCUCAGGGAUGCUCUGGAACUGCAUCAGCUCUUCUGGAGGAACGGGCUCCCUGGAGCAGACUGCUGCCAAGAACAGCAGUUCUCUGCUGUACGCUUUGCACCGAAAAUGUCCACCCGCCUCACACCAGUGCAUUGAAAUGCAGCGCAACAAGGCAGGUUCCCAGAAGGACUCAGUGCAAACAGCCCGGCAGUUCAAAGCCAAAGACGACAUCAGCCUGCUUUCUGCAGAGGCAUCGGGAUGAAGUACCAGCAGGUGACCACAGCGUAGUGCAGUCAGAUCAGCAGACGUUUCUCCUGAAUGAAGGAAUGCCAAUUAAAAAUCCACCCAAAGGAGUGAGGACCUGGCAGCCCUGUUCUGCAGGACCAGAGCACACAAAAACCUCACUCAUUUUCCGGUGAGGUUGGCCUCAACUAAGAAAAUUGUAACACGAAGGAGAAUACAAAUACACCUGGAUGAAGUGAUGGGCUGUCUGUUAGUGCACGGUAAGACCCGAAUACUCAGACUCCACCUGAUUGUAAAGCACAGAGCAAACUGUCAUCCCUCUGGGAUCUGAGAGUGGUACCUGACCCACUUGGCUCUUCUUGCCUGCAGAGGAUUUCUGUGGGCUAGCUAAGCCUCUUUGCUGGUGACCUGCAAAGCAAGGAGACAUCUGAACUUCACUAGAAAGAGGUAGACGAUCCUUUGUCAGUGUGAACACCACGCUGUUCUUCCUUCCAGCUCGUUUUUCUGCCCAACCGUAGAAAAAACCAAACUAUUCCCACAGCAUUUGACAUUCCUGCUAGACCGUCAGCUCACUCUGGUCAGUUAAAAUACAUUUGUCUUUUCAUUAGCUUAAACUUACAGGAAGAAAAACCUUUUUGUGAAGCCAGGAGGUGUUUGCAAACAGCAGGAUUCCAGCGACUAGCUCCUGCAGGCUCCCGAGACCCGUGUGCUUUCUCCUCUUUACUUUCAGGUCUGAAAAUGACAGGAAGGUCAGCGUGACCGUGGCUCAAAGAUUGGGACCACAAAUUUGACGAAUGUUGCAGCCUCACAUGAUUUUACUUCCUUGAAUAAUUUUUUAUUUUCAACAAUACCGCUGCUUGAGGAGGAGGUUGACCCAUGGAGCCCUUCUAAAAGACACUCUGAUAACUCAUGCUUUUUCACUUCAGCAGUGCUAUUUGUUUGUGUGCUUGACAUUUGUCCUAUAGCUUUGUGCCACCUACUACAGCUCCUUCUGAUUGAAUCACUGCUUCCGUUAUUAUUUUUCCGUUCCUUGACUUUUUUCCAGUGAACUGAAAAUAUUCUCAUUCUUGUUUGCUAUUGAUCAGAUAAUCCACAGGUCUGAGCUGGUCUGACAUAGCCCAGACUGCGAUUUGAUGUAUUAGAAGAUGAGUACGUACAUGGAGUGGUUUAUGCUUU
This is a long non-coding RNA of Anser brachyrhynchus (Pink-footed goose), 2050 nucleotides long. NCBI's taxonomy places the organism in Eukaryota, Metazoa, Chordata, Aves, Anseriformes, Anatidae. The record is from Ensembl.